This 623-nucleotide ribosomal RNA is filed under the name uncultured bacterium. RNAcentral describes it as "bacterial SSU rRNA". It matches the Rfam family "Bacterial small subunit ribosomal RNA", at positions 98 to 708 of the family's 1533-position model. The record is from RNAcentral.
GCGAACGGGUGAGUAAUACAUAGGUAACCUGCCCCUGUGCGGGGGAUAACAGGAGGAAACUCCUGCUAAUACCGCAUAGCCAUGAGCACCGCAUGGAGCUCAUGCCAAAUAUCCUUUCGGGGAUAGCGCAGGGAUGGACCUAUGGCGCAUUAGCUUGUUGGCGGGGCAACGGCCCACCAAGGCAACGAUGCGUAGCCGGCCUGAGAGGGCGGACGGCCACAUUGGGACUGAGACACGGCCCAGACUCCUACGGGAGGCAGCAGUAGGGAAUUUUCGGCAAUGGGGGAAACCCUGACCGAGCAACGCCGCGUGAGCGAAGAAGGCCUUCGGGUCGUAAAGCUCUGUUGUAAAGGAAGAACGGCGCAUACAGGAAAUGGUAUGCGAGUGACGGUACUUUACCAGAAAGCCACGGCUAACUACGUGCCAGCAGCCGCGGUAAUACGUARGUGGCGAGCGUUAUCCGGAAUCAUUGGGCGUAAAGAGGGAGCAGGCGGCCGCAAGGGUCUGUGGUGAAAGCCCGAAGCUAAACUUCGGUAAGCCAUGGAAACCGGGCGGCUAGAGUGCGGAAGAGGAUCGUGGAAUUCCAUGUGUAGCGGUGAAAUGCGUAGAUAUAUGGAGGAACA